AUGGUUGCCAAUGUUAUAUGUACAUUGACCAUAUACCGCCUCCUUGCAGAGAGCUAUUGAAGAGGGUGCAGACUUCAUAGAAACAGAUAUCCUAUCAUCAAAAGAUGGUGUUCUUGUAUGUUUCCAUGAUGUCACUCUCGACGAAACAACCGAUGUAGCAUAUCACAGAGUUUGCGAAUCGUAAAAGGACCUAUGAUGUUCAAGGGGUCAACACCACAGGCUUUUUUCCUGUUGAUUUCUCUCUAGAAGAGUUAAAGAAGUUACGGGUGAAGCAGCGGUACGAAUUCCGGGAUCAGCAGUAUAAUGGGAAGUUUCAGAUU
This is a long non-coding RNA of Hibiscus syriacus, 320 nucleotides long. RefSeq lists it as uncharacterized. NCBI's taxonomy places the organism in Eukaryota, Viridiplantae, Streptophyta, Magnoliopsida, Malvales, Malvaceae. The record is from RefSeq and is a predicted model, not a curated record. The transcript has 3 exons.